ACUAAUUUGGCAGAAUUAAGUGCAUUAAGUUUAGAAUUUAAUUAUGUUAUUUUAUAACAAUUAGUAU
Molecule: transfer RNA, 67 nt
Filed under: Sosibia ovata
Lineage: Eukaryota; Metazoa; Arthropoda; Insecta; Phasmatodea; Lonchodidae
Description: tRNA-Leu
Source: RNAcentral